GGAUAAGUGCUGAAAGCAUCUAAGUACGAAGCCAGCCACAAGAUUAGAUUUCUCAGGGUCGUUGUAGACUACAACGUCGAUAGGAUGCAGGUGUACAGGCAGCGAUGUCAUAGCCGAGCAUUACUAAUUGCCCGUCCACUUUUUGCC
This 147-nucleotide ribosomal RNA is filed under the name Escherichia coli. RNAcentral's name for it is "partial 23S ribosomal RNA". It matches the Rfam family "Bacterial large subunit ribosomal RNA", at positions 2762 to 2925 of the family's 2925-position model. Lineage: Bacteria; Pseudomonadati; Pseudomonadota; Gammaproteobacteria; Enterobacterales; Enterobacteriaceae. The record is from RNAcentral.